CCCUGCCAAGUGAAAUAGGUCGGACUUCCAGCAGUCCCCGGAGGUCGGAACCUCGGAGAUGUGCGCGCGAUUUCAUCUCAGGAAAAGCUCGGAAUGUGACGCCAGGACACGGGGAGUAUUUUAAGUAACUUUACAUAUUAACUAAAAAACAAAAUGAAAACCAAACCAACAACCCAAAGGAGAUCCCAGGCCAAACCCCCGACGGGGCAGGGGAGCGGGCUGGAAGCUCAAGAGGGCAGACCCUCCAGAGCAGCGAGGGCCUCGGCGCCCCGGGCGUGCAUGCUCUUUCCUCUCAGAACAUGGGGCUGUCCCCCCCCAGCGUCUCGGUUCACCCUUCAAAAUCCAGUGAGGUGCCUGGCCACCGCCACAGCCCACGGCCCCUCGGCUCCCGUUAGCCCUCCCUCUCACGUCCAGGCCCUUGCUUGCGGUCAUUUCUGCCCCCCAAUGUCCUGAUGGUCACAAGUGUCAGUCUUCCCCAGAGACAGGGGGUUCCUUGUGGACCCAGAGCCAUCUGCGUCUUCUCUGUGGGCUCUGUCACACUGCUGGUGCCCUUGGAGGGAAAGGUGCCCACGUGCCUCCUUCACCUGGGCUCCGAGGACACGGGUCUCCAGGGCGCUGGGGUGGGGCUGGCCUGGGCGCAGGCGCAGCAGGCUGUGAGCCGGUCUCUUGCUCGUCACCCACCACUGUGAAGAGGAACAGGAGCUGACCGCAGGCUCCAGGCUCAUCCUCCGCGAGAACACAGAGCAGUGAUGUAGAAGCAGAGACUGGAUUUCCAGGAAUCCCAAGUGAGCUCGGUGCUGUGAUUAAACAGAAACUUUUACUCUGGACAUCCUGGCCGCCAAGGGAAGAUGGAUCACCUGGGAUCAUCAGCAUCUUCCUGUUAUUCAGUCCUAGGAGGACCUUAAGGAGCAGGUCCCUGUUUUAGAACUGGAACACAAUCAACAAAUGGGAAGCAAAGAGACCACUCUGAUGGAUCUGCAGAUCGCAUGCCGGUGUGCAGCUGAGCUGCUAAACAGCUGACAAAGGCCACCUCCAGGGACAGAAGCCAGGAUUGUUGGCAAAAAGGUGAGAACGCAGUUCCUUUAGAAGCGUUGCUUGGGCUGCACGAGACCUGCCCCCGCGGCUUCGGCGCGCCCGCCCACGGGCCUGUUUGUCUUGGAGCUGGUGGAGCCGAUUUCACGUCUGUCCCCAGGAAGCUGACCGAGGAGGGCUGGGGGAGACCCUGGCAGGGUCAGCCGAAAAUAAAUGGCCACAGAUCGGAUCAAGUCCUCAUCCAAAAAUGAGCCUCGUUUCCUUGA
Long non-coding RNA from Sciurus carolinensis (gray squirrel), 1298 nucleotides. RefSeq lists it as uncharacterized. The transcript is spliced from 3 exons. Lineage: Eukaryota; Metazoa; Chordata; Mammalia; Rodentia; Sciuridae. The record is from RefSeq and is a predicted model, not a curated record.